GAUGAACGCUAGCGGCAGGCCUAACACAUGCAAGUCGAGGGGUAACAUAGAGAAGCUUGCUUCUUUGAUGACGACCGGCGCACGGGUGCGUAACGCGUAUACAAUCUGCCUUACACUGGGGGAUAGCCUUUAGAAAUGAAGAUUAAUACCCCAUGGUAUCACGCCAUCGCAUGGUGGAGUGAUUAAAGGUUACGGUGUAAGAUGAGUAUGCGUCCUAUUAGCUUGUUGGUGUGGUAACGGCACACCAAGGCUACGAUAGGUAGGGGCCCUGAGAGGGGGAUCCCCCACACUGGUACUGAGACACGGACCAGACUCCUACGGGAGGCAGCAGUGAGGAAUAUUGGACAAUGGGCGAGAGCCUGAUCCAGCCAUGCCGCGUGCAGGAAGACUGCCCCUAUGGGUUUGUAAAACUGCUUUUAUACGGGAAGAAACACUCCUUCGAGCAAGGAGCUUGACGGUACCGUACGAAUAAGGAUCGGCUAACUCCGUGCCA
RNAcentral lists this ribosomal RNA (493 nucleotides) under uncultured bacterium. RNAcentral describes it as "bacterial SSU rRNA". It matches the Rfam family "Bacterial small subunit ribosomal RNA", at positions 28 to 510 of the family's 1533-position model. The record is from RNAcentral.